UACGUAGGUGGCAAGCGUUAUCCGGAUUUACUGGGUGUAAAGGGCAUGUAGGCGGGAAAGCAAGUCAGAUGUGAAAACCAUGGGCUCAACCUGUGGCCUGCAUUUGAAACUGUUUUUCUUGAGUACUGGAGAGGCAGACGGAAUUCCUAGUGUAGCGGUGAAAUGCGUAGAUAUUAGGAGGAACACCAGUGGCGAAGGCGGUCUGCUGGACAGCAACUGACGCUGAGGCGCGAAAGCGUGGGGAGCAAACAGG
This 253-nucleotide ribosomal RNA is filed under the name uncultured bacterium. RNAcentral's name for it is "partial 16S ribosomal RNA". It matches the Rfam family "Bacterial small subunit ribosomal RNA", at positions 524 to 776 of the family's 1533-position model. The record is from RNAcentral.